UACGUAGGAGGCGAGCGUUGUCCGGAAUUACUGGGCGUAAAGAGCGCGUAGGCGGCACGGUACGACCGGUGUGAAAGCCCCCGGCUCAACUGGGGAGGGUCACCGGUAACGGUCGAGCUAUGAGUGCAGGAGAGGGAAGUGGAACUCCGGGAGUAGCGGUGAAAUGCGUAGAGACCCGGAGGAACACCAGUGGCGAAGGCGGCUUCCUGGUCUGCGACUGACGCUGUGGCGCGAAAGCUAGGGGGAGCAAACGGGG
RNAcentral lists this ribosomal RNA (256 nucleotides) under uncultured bacterium. RNAcentral describes it as "partial 16S ribosomal RNA". It matches the Rfam family "Bacterial small subunit ribosomal RNA", at positions 524 to 777 of the family's 1533-position model. The record is from RNAcentral.